Molecule: ribosomal RNA, 717 nt
Filed under: uncultured Bacillus sp.
Lineage: Bacteria; Bacillati; Bacillota; Bacilli; Caryophanales; Bacillaceae
Description: bacterial SSU rRNA
Rfam family: Bacterial small subunit ribosomal RNA
Source: RNAcentral
CCGCGUGAGUGAUGAAGGUUUUCGGAUCNAAAACUCUGUUGUUGGGGAAGAACAAGUAUCGGAGUAACUGCCGGUACCUUGACGGUACCUAACCAGAAAGCCACGGCUAACUACGUGCCAGCAGCCGCGGUAAUACGUAGGUGGCAAGCGUUGUCCGGAAUUAUUGGGCGUAAAGCGCGCGCAGGCGGUCCUUUAAGUCUGAUGUGAAAGCCCACGGCUCAACCGUGGAGGGUCAUUGGAAACUGGGGGACUUGAGUGCAGAAGAGGAGAGUGGAAUUCCACGUGUAGCGGUGAAAUGCGUAGAGAUGUGGAGGAACACCAGUGGCGAAGGCGACUCUCUGGUCUGUAACUGACGCUGAGGCGCGAAAGCGUGGGGAGCGAACAGGAUUAGAUACCCUGGUAGUCCACGCCGUAAACGAUGAGUGCUAAGUGUUAGAGGGUUUCCGCCCUUUAGUGCUGCAGCAAACGCAUUAAGCACUCCGCCUGGGGAGUACGGCCGCAAGGCUGAAACUCAAAGGAAUUGACGGGGGCCCGCACAAGCGGUGGAGCAUGUGGUUUAAUUCGAAGCAACGCGAAGAACCUUACCAGGUCUUGACAUCCUCUGACAACCCUAGAGAUAGGGCGUUCCCCUUCGGGGGACAGAGUGACAGGUGGUGCAUGGUUGUCGUCAGCUCGUGUCGUGAGAUGUUGGGUUAAGUCCCGGCACGAGCGCAACCC